This 447-nucleotide ribosomal RNA is filed under the name uncultured bacterium. RNAcentral describes it as "bacterial SSU rRNA". It matches the Rfam family "Bacterial small subunit ribosomal RNA", at positions 355 to 825 of the family's 1533-position model. The record is from RNAcentral.
UCGGGAAUUUUGGACAAUGGGCGAAAGCCUGAUCCAGCCAUGCCGCGUGAGUGACGAAGGCCUUAGGGUUGUAAAACUCUUUCGUCGGGGACGAUAAUGACGGUACCCGAAGAAGAAGCUCCGGCUAACUUCGUGCCAGCAGCCGCGGUAAUACGAAGGGAGCUAGCGUUGUUCGGAAUCACUGGGUGUAAAGCGCACGUAGGCGGAUAGUUAAGUCAGGGGUGAAAUCCUGGGGCUCAACCCCAGAACUGCCUUUGAUACUGGCUGUCUCGAGGUCGAGAGAGGUUGGUGGAAUUCCUAGUGUAGAGGUGAAAUUCGUAGAUAUUAGGAAGAACACCAGUGGCGAAGGCGGCCAACUGGCUCGAUACUGACGCUGAGGUGCGAAAGCGUGGGGAGCAAACAGGAUUAGAUACCCUUGUAGUCCCUGAGCGGGCUGGCAAGGCGCAU